This 253-nucleotide ribosomal RNA is filed under the name uncultured bacterium. RNAcentral describes it as "partial 16S ribosomal RNA". It matches the Rfam family "Bacterial small subunit ribosomal RNA", at positions 524 to 776 of the family's 1533-position model. The record is from RNAcentral.
AACGUAGGAGACAAACGUUAUCCGGAGUUACUGGGCGUAAAGGGCGUGUAGGUGGUGCUGUAAGUCUGGCGUGAAAUCCCUCGGCUUAACCGGGGAACUGCAUCUGAUACUGGAUGGCUUGAGUUCGGGAGAGGGAUGCGGAAUUCCAGGUGUAGCGGUGAAAUGCGUAGAUAUCUGGAGGAACACCGGUGGCGAAGGCGGCAUCCUGGACCGACACUGACGCUGAGGAGCGAAAGCCAGGGGAGCAAACGGG